UAAAUAAAGAAUCUUUAUUUACAUUUGAAGUAAACCAUCAUAAAUCGGAAAACAUGCAUCAUGAAAAUGGACAAAGUGAAACAAAUCUGCAAAAGAAGAAUCUGAUCUUCCACAGCAAGAUGAAAAAAUAAUAAUUCAGGAGAAGAUACAAAAUCUUCAAGUACACACUCGAGGAAAAGUAGUAGAAAAGACCAAAAUAUUGCACAGAAUCAGUCUAACCACUACAUUCAUGUGGCAAAAAAAUCACUUAAAUGCAAAAAUAAUGCUACGAUAGAUUCAAACUAUCUUUAAUUCAGAACAGCUGUGCUGUAGGUAUGUCUCUGCGUGGCAAACUGUGCUUUUCUCUGAAAAAGAAAUGACAACAUAUGACAGAAAAUAGGCAAAGAUGUGUGAUUCUACAAAACCAACUACUCGCAUGAUUCAAUCAAUUGUCCAUUCGUAGUUUUUCUAAGACUUGUGAUUAAAUAAGAAAAAGAAAAACAACAGAAGAAAAAAAACGUAUGUAAAAUAAUAAUGAUACACAAGGCCAUGGAGGAAUAUUAACGACAUAUUGCUCUUUGAUGUGAGAGGCACAUUUUGCUUCCUGCUAAAGUAAUCCAGCUUGGUUCAGUAGUUAACAAACAGGCUGGAGUUUAUACCUUUGCAUUUUAAUGUACUCAUUACCCAGCCAUUUAGGAAAACUUCUGUAUAUUUACAAACGAAGCAGAACUUUCUGCUCCAAUGCUGUAUUUUCAGAAGUAAAAUGGCUCGCCAACAUGAAACAUAAAUAACAAGAAAUAUAUAAUAUAAUAUAUAAGUAAAGAGGAUGCAUGAAGAGAAUCUCAGAACUUUUCCCCCUCUAAUAAAGACUAAACAAACCGUCUUUGGUCAUUCAACUUCAUGUCCUUGAAAUAUUCACUAAGACCCUGCUUAAAAAAAAAAAAAAAUCAACAAAAAAACAACAACAACAAACAACAACAACAUUCUAAACCCAAGCCAUCAACUGGCUGGCAUGAAGUAAUGAAAACGGGUACAGUGAAAAAUAAAUAUGGUGUAAUUUCUGCUUGGUUUGAUGGGUUGAGUGAAUGAGUAUUUGUAUUUCCGGAGGGGGGGAAAAGCAGUAAAUCUUUCACAUUAGAUAUAAAAGGCAUGAAUACAGAAAGGACCGUUUGCUAAGUGAGCCCGGAUACUCCUGUAACUAGAAGCACAAUUCUUCUUGUCUUCUCUUCAGAUCCCCCAUCAAACUCUUCACCAGUCUCUGUCUCUUGUCUGGUUUUUAUCCUUUUCUCAGUGGUAAGUGACCGGUAAUGGGAGCAGCAGCAGCGCCUUUAGACUCAGAAGGAGGCCGUUCGUUUGUGCGUUCACUGCAUUUUUGACAUCUCAUAUUUUGUAGUCAUGAUUUCCUGCAAAGUGACCCACAUUGAAAAGCACGGUCAUUUCCUGUAUUUUUUUUAAAAAGAUUUUCAGUUGAAAAGAAAUAUUUUGUAGGGUCGGUUGAACAAACCUCAUCUGAGUCGAGAAGAACAGGCAGAGCACUGAAACAUAUAUAGUCAUGUAAGUUAGAGGAGCUCUGAACACAUUCUUCCUAGAGUGCAUGAGAGCAUGAGGGCAAAGUAACUAUUUUAACAGGAUAUACAGUACUGUGUAGAAGUUUUAGGCACAUGCAAAGAAAUUCUGUAGAGAUGCAAAGAUGUCUUCAAUAUAAUGAAAUUAAAUGUUCCUACAUUAAAGAAAAUAGCAGUAAACAGUAGUAAAUGAAACAAAGUCAAUAUUUGGUG
Molecule: long non-coding RNA, 1757 nt
Organism: Ictalurus punctatus (channel catfish)
Lineage: Eukaryota; Metazoa; Chordata; Actinopteri; Siluriformes; Ictaluridae
Source: Ensembl